RNAcentral lists this transfer RNA (105 nucleotides) under Daucus carota subsp. sativus. It matches the Rfam family "tRNA". Rfam says of the family: Transfer RNA (tRNA) molecules are approximately 80 nucleotides in length. Their secondary structure includes four short double-helical elements and three loops (D, anti-codon, and T loops). Further hydrogen bonds mediate the characteristic L-shaped molecular structure. tRNAs have two regions of fundamental functional importance: the anti-codon, which is responsible for specific mRNA codon recognition, and the 3' end, to which the tRNAs corresponding amino acid is attached (by aminoacyl-tRNA synthetases). tRNAs cope with the degeneracy of the genetic code in two manners: having more than one tRNA (with a specific anti-codon) for a particular amino acid; and 'wobble' base-pairing, i.e. permitting non-standard base-pairing at the 3rd anti-codon position. Lineage: Eukaryota; Viridiplantae; Streptophyta; Magnoliopsida; Apiales; Apiaceae. The record is from Rfam by way of RNAcentral.
GGGGAAGUAGCUCAACUGGUAGAGCAUUAACACAUUGUGAAUUGAUCAUAUUUUGGUCUGUUUCUUGCUGAAACAAGGUUCGAGGUUCGAAUUCUCGCUUCUCCA